AACGAUUUCAUUGGGGGAUAUGACAACUGACAAGAAGACAUAGAUACAAAAAUGGCGUCGGUGUGACUAUUUCCAUCGUAGCAUAUUAGGUCUAUUUUCUAUUUUGUGUUGUGUGGUUUUAUUUUCAUAUAAAAAUAGAGAGCAAAUAGCGGAAAAGACUAUUGAUGACCAGUGGAAACGAUACUGGAAGGGGAAUAUUUGGUAACAUCUAGGGGAUUUUCAACAAAGCUACAAUGUCAUGUGGUCACUAUGUCUUGGAACGAUUUCAUUGGGGGAAUUCAUAUCAUGUGACAUUGACAUAACAAUGGCGCCGGCGUGACUAGUUAUCUACCAUGGUUUUGUAUAUACUUGUUUUAAAUAUGAAAAUGGAGAGCAAAUGGUGGAAAAGUCUAUUUUUGACCAUCGGAAACGAUAUUAUGAAAGGUAACUGAACAUACUUCGAUGGAUGUUAUUAUUGGGUGUUAUAAUUGGAUGAAGGAAUGUGAUGGGAUAUUACAAAAAAAUACCUAGAUAGGUCUUGCAAUAUACAGAGAAUAAGUCUGAUCAAACCUGAGGAGGUAGCUGUUAAAUACCAACAAUUAUUUAUUUUACACCCAUGUGGUAACCAUGAACUUUAUGGAUCUGAUUUUCGUUGGAUGUUACCAUCUGGUGUAGUAAUUGAUCAUAGGAAUCUGAUAGGGGAUAUUAUAAAAACAAAAAAAAACCAUACGAUGCUCUUGCACUAUACAGAGGAUAAGUCUGGAUGCAAUCAAAUCAAAAGAAGGCUGCUGUUGAAUAAAUACUCACAAAUAUUCAUUUUCUGACCAUUUGUUUUUGAAGUCUUCCCUGUAUUGGCUCUACUUCUGUAGUCUGGUAUAGGAGUUGAUUUGAAGGAUUGUUGGUAUGUCUCCAUUUGGUGAUUUUUCUUAGACAAGUUCUUUUGAGGCAAUCUCAAGUAUGAAUUAAUUUUCAAGGAAAAUAAUGAAUGUAAAUAUGUGAAAAUAAUAGUCCAGCUUGGAAUAAUUCACAAUGAAGAACAAGUUCAAAGUUUAUCUCAAGACAUGGCUGGACUGUUGGAAAAAGACUCGAAAGAAAAGGACUCAAUAGCAAAAUGUGAGAUGGAAAUGGCUGCAAAAAAUUGUGGAAAGCUUUCCUACAUUACUGCGAAGAAUCCGAAGAAAUUAAAGGUCACAUUCAUACAGGUGAAAUAAUUUAUCAAAUAGAAACAGAGUGUAGCAAUUUUUUAUUAGUUGAAUUAGUAGGCUCUGGAACAGGAAUUUUCUCACUGUUAGUAUUUCUCAAGUGUUGCAACCAUUUGAGUCAUUCUUCAUUUACUAAAAGUUCUAAUUCUUCAUUUAAUUCAAAACUCAUUUUCCAAAUGUCUUAAAAAAAAUCUUGCUCUGAUAGCAUAGUGGCGAAGAAACCCAAGAGGGUAACAAAUUGACUAUCAAUUGAUUAUCAACAUUUUUCUUUAGUAGUUGUUGCUUUCUCUUUUAAAAUUUCCUCAAUUUCCUUGGACUUUGCUCAAUAACAAUCUUCUUUUUUUAUGGUCCCAUAUAUUAUAUGGAGACCAUCUCUCUUGUGAACCUCUUGGACCCUAGUUAUCAAAUCUAAUACCUAAUCCACAGAACGAUCACUGUCUAAAUAGUGUUCCAUAAUUACCUUUGCUGUCACAAGAAAUUCAUGAUUAUCAUUUUGUCCUUUGAUAGUGGUGUGAAUCAUUCUCUUCAUUAACAGAGGAUCAGUUGAACCUGUAGUUCCCAAAAAUGAGGUUAACUCUUUAUAUUUUUAUAUGUUUAUAAUGGACCUUUCAUAAUAAAGCCGAUGUGGGAACUUCGUUUUUAGCCUUUUUAAAAAUUAUAGGAUCUAUGCGCAAUAACACUUUCUUUUCUCUUUUUUUUGCAUAUCUCAUUUGUUCUGUGUCUGAAAUUGGUGCUGUCGGGAAUAUUCUGAUUUAGUAAGCCUCAAUGGAAUUUAUUACAACCAUCUUUGUUGCAACUUUUUUCUUUCUACAAUAUCUGAUCCCAUGAUUGUUAUGCAAGCAACAGAAACAAAUUUUAUUUUCCUUUUACCCAUUCUCAUCUGCAGUCUGAAUCCAGCUGCUGGAAGUUACUGCAAGUAGAUGUAGUUCAUUUCAAAGUUCAUGCAAUUGAAUUUACUAGUAUGGUUCUACUCACUUGCGGCACAUAUUUUUCUUUCUUCCAAGAUCAGUAUCAGGAUGACUUAUUAUUUUGCUAUCUCACCAAACCACAGAAAUCAGAAAUAUAGAUGUUAUCAGUUUUAACAUUUAGUUCACUCACUUUUUUGUUCUAUUCAAAUUUCAAUGUUGUCGACAACUUGGAAACUUGCUCAGUGAGCUGUGGAUUGAAAAAUUAUGUUGUCACAGUUUUAAACAGAUUCUGAACUGCUAUGAGAGAUCAAUUAUUGGUAGUUCCUUGGGAAUGAACCAUCUUCAUAAGAACUUGCUUAUUUUAUCAUCUUGAAAGAAAGUUGAAGGUUAUGAAUGGUUUCUUUCAAUUCUUUAUUACAAUAAGAGAAACUUUGAUUUUCGAAUAUUAGAAAAAUAACAGACAUUUGUAUGAAACUGAAAGUAUCGACACAUACCCCAAAUUAAAAGAGUAGUCCACAAAUUUUUAUUCUAAAACAUAAAAUACAAAAAUAUGUUAAUAAAAAAAUAUCUUAAGAUAUCCAAGAAUAUUUCUUACAAUUUAUAGUGCCUAUUUGAUUCGAUGGAAUAUAGAAGUUGUUAAAUAAACUCAAAUCACACUUGUAAAAUUGCCGUAGGUAGGAAACUAAUAUUGCGUUUUUUGUUAUUAUGUGUGUAAAGAAAUUAUAUUUCUUCAAUUCUAAUCUGACCCCAUAGAUUGUGCUAAUUUUUAACUACCAUAGACAGAGUCUAUGGUGCCAAGGCCAGGGUUAUAUUGAAUACUUAAUCCUAUGACAAUUAUUGUUACUAGGCAACUACUGAACAAUAUCAUUCAUCUUUCAUUUCGAAUUCAUAUAGAAAGGGAAUUGUUUGGAAUAGAAACUUUAAUUGUCGUUUCUUUGUUUUCAGGUAGGUUGGCUAGUUAGGUGAACAAUGUAAUUGUACUAUUAUAAUCUUUGUUUUCAGAGCAA
This is a long non-coding RNA of Harmonia axyridis, 3096 nucleotides long. RefSeq lists it as uncharacterized. The transcript has 6 exons. NCBI's taxonomy places the organism in Eukaryota, Metazoa, Arthropoda, Insecta, Coleoptera, Coccinellidae. The record is from RefSeq and is a predicted model, not a curated record.